AAACCAUCAGGGGCUCAAACCCCCUGGAAGAGUCAUUUCUCCUGUCUUGACAACCCAGCUGGUUCUUCAGAGGUUCUGGUUAAAGGUCAGAGGAACAUAGAGUGGAUAUUAGAAGUCAUGGAAAACUAUAAACAUCAGCUGUAGUAUUAUGGCCAGCUGGAGAAAUGAAGUUACAGCCUCUACUUGCAUCUUCUUUCAUACUGUAUAACAUUUAAAAAAAGUUUUUCUUGCAUUUUCGCUUUU
RNAcentral lists this long non-coding RNA (243 nucleotides) under Homo sapiens (human). RNAcentral's name for it is "HSALNT0031438". Lineage: Eukaryota; Metazoa; Chordata; Mammalia; Primates; Hominidae. The record is from RNAcentral.